CCUACGGGAGGCAGCAGUGAGGAAUAUUGGUCAAUGGACGAGAGUCUGAACCAGCCAAGUAGCGUGAAGGAUGACUGCCCUAUGGGUUGUAAACUUCUUUUAUAUGGGAAUAAAAUGUUCCACGUGUGGGAUUUUGUAUGUACCAUAUGAAUAAGGAUCGGCUAACUCCGUGCCAGCAGCCGCGGUAAUACGGAGGAUCCGAGCGUUGUCCGGAUUUAUUGGGUUUGAGGGGAGCGUAGGUGGAUUGUUAAGUCAGUUGUGAAAGUUUGCGGCUCAACCGUAAAAUUGCAGUUGAAACUGGCAGUCUUGAGUACAGUAGAGGUGGGCGGAAUUCGUGGUGUAGCGGUGAAAUGCUUAGAUAUCACGAAGAACUCCGAUUGCGAAGGCAGUUCACUGGACUGCAACUGACACUGAGGCUCGAAAGUGUGGGUAUCAAACAGGAUUAGAUACCCGAGUAGUC
Molecule: ribosomal RNA, 460 nt
Filed under: uncultured bacterium
Lineage: Bacteria
Description: partial 16S ribosomal RNA
Rfam family: Bacterial small subunit ribosomal RNA
Source: RNAcentral